UGAUAGAGGCGCGAGGUUAAAAAUUAGCAUAUCCGAGGCAGCGAAGCCACAGACGGUAUGUGAAAGGGAACCUUGCCGAAACGGAUACCGAUCGCAACGGUAUUCAGUUGGGCGUCAGGAUAAUAUCCUGCCGACUGUCGCAUAAGCGGAGUGCUAUCGGAU
Molecule: non-coding RNA, 162 nt
Filed under: pig gut metagenome
Description: Lysine riboswitch
Rfam family: Lysine riboswitch aptamer
About the family: Riboswitches are metabolite binding domains within certain messenger RNAs that serve as precision sensors for their corresponding targets. Allosteric rearrangement of mRNA structure is mediated by ligand binding, and this results in modulation of gene expression.
Source: RNAcentral